CAAGUUACAGGAUAUUCUUGUGUUGUUUUUGUGUUUUCCCUCCUCCUUGUUACUGUCUGUGUAUGGGUGUGUGCCUCACACUGUGACUUCUUCCCCAAAAGUCUAAAAAAGGUGUCUGCCCUGGUUAUUGCUGUCCUGGUGUCUAUGUGCCUGCAUUAAGUGGAAACUGUCUUGGCUAUCUCAUAGAGGGCACCACCUACCCCGUGGCAGAUCGCAGAGAACAACUUACCACACUGCAGACUAACACGGCUACCACUGAAACAAUUCUCCAUAGAGACCUCUGGAGGCUUAGACCUACCCAAGAGUGAUCCAGGUGCCAGAAUGAAAGGAGGAAACUCAUUAUACAGAGGUGCACUUCUGAGAUCCACAUCUGGACUUUUCCACAACAUGAGAACAGAACUGGAGAACAAACUUCGGUUUGGCUUAUCAGUGAGUGAGGGGUCAGCAACUACAGAGGCUGAAUUGUGUGGACAAAGUCUCUGAAAAGUAGGGCUGCAGCAGGAGAGCUCGGAAAUGGAACAGAAUUCCUGAAAAACUCACAGGACUCAUAUGCUGCAUCUUUGGAAAUUGCUGCUAUGGCAGCAAGGGACUGAACUCCUACCAUAAAACUAGCUGACCUGUUAAAAAGAAGAAAUUGCAAACAGCUAAACAAGGAGGUGCAAGAGAGUGGGAAAUAUGACUGCAAUGGCAGAGAGCUCCAGGUGGUCAACAGACAGAUGCUUCAAACUGCUUAUGUCAGCAGUGCAAGCCUACAAUAUAGGAACAUUCUCCCUCUCCAUUGCAACCAAGUGCUGGAAGAUGGAAAAAAAUAUCUUUGCUCUGGCUGUGACAGCAAGACUGAGGAGACAGCAUUGUAAAGGAUGGACAUGUUUGCAUGGUAAAUAUAGGGAGAAUUCAUUCAAUAGAGAUAGAAUUGCAGAUGGAAAUAUAUAACAGGUUAUAUGACGAUGGCGGUGAACUAAGAAUAAACACAGAGUUUACCUGUUCAAACAG
Molecule: long non-coding RNA, 993 nt
Organism: Chelonia mydas (Green sea turtle)
Lineage: Eukaryota; Metazoa; Chordata; Testudines; Cheloniidae
Exons: 5
Source: RefSeq, a predicted model, not a curated record